Molecule: non-coding RNA, 262 nt
Organism: Pelobates cultripes (western spadefoot toad)
Lineage: Eukaryota; Metazoa; Chordata; Amphibia; Anura; Pelobatidae
Source: the annotation of a GenBank genome assembly
GCAGUGAGGAAAUUAAGGAUAGCAUGUUGUCCUUGUAAUGGGGAUGCAGCAGGGUGGCCACCCAGUAAUCAGCACAAGUUAGAAUGUGGGCAACUCUGCAGUUGUUGCGCAGGCACUUUGGUGACUCUAGAUAACCUUGGGCUGAUCGCACGUCCCCGUGACGGCGACGACGCAUUUGGAUGUCUGCCCUAUCAACUUUCGAUGGUACUUUCUGCGCCUACCAUGGUGACCACGGGUAACGGGGAAUCAGGGUUCGAUUCCA